RNAcentral lists this ribosomal RNA (378 nucleotides) under uncultured bacterium. RNAcentral's name for it is "bacterial SSU rRNA". It matches the Rfam family "Bacterial small subunit ribosomal RNA", at positions 521 to 896 of the family's 1533-position model. The record is from RNAcentral.
UAAUACGUAGGGGGCGAGCGUUGUCCGAAGUUACUGGGCGUAAAGCGCGCGUAGGCGGGAGAUUAAGUGAGAGGUGAAAGGCUGGGGCUUAACCCCAUGCAGUGCCUCUCAUACUGGUCUUCUUGAGGGCGGCAGAGAGAAGUGGAAUGGCUGGUGUAGCGGUGAAAUGCGUAGAUAUCAGUCGGAACACCCGUGGCGAAGGCGGCUUCUUGGGCCGUUUCUGACGCUGAGGCGCGAAAGCCAGGGGAGCGAACGGGAUUAGAUACCCCGGUAGUCCUGGCCGUAAACGAUGGAUACUAGGUGUCGGGGGUAUCGACCCCUCCGGUGCCGCAGCUAACGCAGUAAGUAUCCCGCCUGGGGAGUACGGCCGCAAGGUUG